CGACAGCGUUUUUCAAAACGCCCGUGGCGAUAACUUUGGCACCUCCGUUGCUUAGUAGGACAGGUGCUUACACGCAUGUCGGUGCUGCAGUGUGCAACCGGGGUGAGUCCGUUCCUUGCUGACUGAAAACAAUGAGGCCACAACAGCAUUGUUUGCGCGCCAUUGGUUCGCGGGCGUUGUUAUCCGAUCGCAAACAAGGCCUAAUAAACACCGUUCAGUCUCGUCACUUAGAACGAUCACCGUGCCGCAAAUGUGGGUCAGCAGGCCCAACAGCCGAGCCGCAUGCCAAGUUGGAAAAGUGUCGCCGUUCUGUGACGUUUUACAGACACGCUAUAGCACGCUUUUCCACAACCACUUUGACCACUAUUUUCAGUAUAUCUGCUACGCGCCUUCGCCAAUAAAAUUUCGUCAUAUGUGAUCGA
Rhipicephalus sanguineus (brown dog tick) is the source of this 422-nucleotide long non-coding RNA. RefSeq lists it as uncharacterized. The record is from RefSeq and is a predicted model, not a curated record. Lineage: Eukaryota; Metazoa; Arthropoda; Arachnida; Ixodida; Ixodidae. The transcript has 2 exons.